Gorilla gorilla gorilla (western lowland gorilla) is the source of this 119-nucleotide ribosomal RNA. Lineage: Eukaryota; Metazoa; Chordata; Mammalia; Primates; Hominidae. The record is from Ensembl.
AUCUACAGCUAUACCAACCUGAAUGCAUCCGAUCUCACCUGGUCUUGGAAGCUAAGCAAGAUAAAGCCUGGUUAGUCCUUAGAUGGAAGACUGCCUGGGAAUACUGGGUGCUGUAGGCU